CUAUAAUCAUACUCGUUAAGUUUUAAAUUGGGAAUGGGAUUUCCAUCCAUGAAGUAGCUUUGGAAAUCCAAUUCCCAAUAUGAACUGAAAAGGCAGAUGAUAAUUUGCAUUUCCAUUAAAUCUUAACAUACGUUGGACAAUGCAGCUUUGCAUGAUAUAUAGCGAGACAAAUUUUCCCAAAAGACAGCCCCCUAUUGCCACCAAGAAAAAAAAAAAAAAAAAAAAACGUAGUGC
Molecule: unclassified non-coding RNA, 234 nt
Filed under: Hevea brasiliensis (rubber tree)
Lineage: Eukaryota; Viridiplantae; Streptophyta; Magnoliopsida; Malpighiales; Euphorbiaceae
Source: RNAcentral